AAGGGUUGCCACCACUCAGAGGAGCACAGCAGGAUUAGCCCCACACAGGUGAAAAGAAAGUGAAUGGUUCUUUCUGUGAGCAGAUUUUCUUUCUAAAACAAUGCCUCCUGCAGCUAAAGGAGGAAAAGAGGAAACCAACAAUACCAACAGCUAGGGGAAGAGAUAGGUGAGGUCUCUGUUUUCUGAUGAGGAAGCUAAGCCUUGGAAGCCAGGCUUCAAACCUAGCGGGGGCAUAAUGAUCUUUCCAGUGUACAUUUUUGCUUUUGCAAAUUAGAAGAGUUAUUAAGUUUAUGAGUCAGUAUCAUGAAGAUCAAGAUGAUAUCUAAAAGGUUACUGGCAUGCAGUUUCCAUAAUAUUGCUAGAAGACAAGACUGAAUCAUAGCCUCCCAGGAACAGAAGAAACCUCAAAAGUUAUCGAGGCUGUUGUUUGGCAGCAACUGGAGCUACGUCCAAGCUGGUGGGUAUGCAGCGAUGGGCUGGGAACUCAUCUCCUCUUGGAAGUGGUAAGUGGUGAUAUGGAGGCAGUCCAACUGACUCCGGGGUUUGAAAAACAGAAACAUGGCUGAGUAAAGCCACCAAUUAAAACAGACCCUUGUGAGCACUGCAGAAGAUGGUAGUUUUCAGCACAUGGUGCUUGUAAGUAUCUGACAAUUUCAUAGCUUGAAACAAUUGGGCAGUCAAAUAAUCAACUUGAAAUCUCUGUGCAGUUCGCAAGGUUAUUGCCCACAAAAUAUUAGCUCUAAGAUGGUAAAAGGCUAUCAUGGUGACCUGACUCCAAAGUGAAUUCUGUCUUCAGGAAAAUCCCAAGUCUUCAAAGGAGCCAAACUGUUGUGGAUAAAUAGAAGGGAAGCAUGAGUAUUGUUGUGAAAGAAAACUCUAAAAUACAACAGUGUCUAUAAAUAGUGAGGGCUCCCCAAAAGACUAGAAAAUAUUUCUUGGAACGAAGAACUGGCUACUUCCACAGAAUUUGCCCUUAGACUUUGGAUUUAUACUGUGGCCACUGCAAGUUGAACAUUUUCCCAAAUACUCAGAGCAGAUGCUCACAACUCAUUCCCAAGGCAAAAGCUUCCUCAAAUGUCGAGGAUACUCUAACCCUUGUAAAUUAUAAAAUGGUCUAUGCAUGAAUAUAAUUAGAUUCAACAAUUACAAAAUAAAGAAAAAUGAUGGCUGGGAUAGAUGCAUAAGUUUAAUGAAACCCCAAGCAUCAAAUAGAGGUCAAAAGUUUCUCUUUUUAUUAAUCUUUAAAGUAUGAGUCAGCUGUUGAGUUCAUUGUGACAGUUAUGGAAAUAUUUAGUCAUCAAACCAAAAAUGCUUUAUGGCAAACUCCAAAUA
RNAcentral lists this long non-coding RNA (1332 nucleotides) under Homo sapiens (human). RNAcentral describes it as "non-protein coding lnc-CLDN23-1:6". The record is from RNAcentral. Lineage: Eukaryota; Metazoa; Chordata; Mammalia; Primates; Hominidae.